RNAcentral lists this ribosomal RNA (459 nucleotides) under uncultured bacterium. Its description in RNAcentral is "partial 16S ribosomal RNA". It matches the Rfam family "Bacterial small subunit ribosomal RNA", at positions 338 to 795 of the family's 1533-position model. The record is from RNAcentral.
CCUACGGGCGGCAGCAGUGAGGAAUAUUGGUCAAUGGGCGCGAGCCUGAACCAGCCAAGUCGCGUGAGGGAAGACGGUCCUAUGGAUUGUAAACCUCUUUUGUCGGGGAGCAAAAGACGCCACGCGUGGCGUUCCGAGAGUACCCGAAGAAAAAGCAUCGGCAAACUCCGUGCCAGCAGCCGCGGUAAUACGGAGGAUGCGAGCGUUACCCGGAUUUAUUGGGUUUAAAGGGUGCGCAGGCGGAAGAUCAAGUCAGCGGUAAAAUUGAGGGGCUCAACCUCUUCGAGCCGUUGAAACUGGUUAUCUUGAGUGAGUGAGAGGUAUGCGGAAUGCGUGGUGUAGCGGUGAAAUGCAUAGAUAUCACGCAGAACUCCGAUUGCGAAGGCAGCAUACCGGCGCUCAACUGACGCUCAUGCACGAAAGUGUGGGUAUCGAACAGGAUUAGAUACCCUUGUAGUC